RNAcentral lists this ribosomal RNA (824 nucleotides) under Pseudomonas fluorescens. RNAcentral describes it as "bacterial SSU rRNA". It matches the Rfam family "Bacterial small subunit ribosomal RNA", at positions 54 to 874 of the family's 1533-position model. Lineage: Bacteria; Pseudomonadati; Pseudomonadota; Gammaproteobacteria; Pseudomonadales; Pseudomonadaceae. The record is from RNAcentral.
CAUGCAGUCGAGCGGUAGAGAGAAGCUUGCUUCUCUUGAGAGCGGCGGACGGGUGAGUAAUGCCUAGGAAUCUGCCUGGUAGUGGGGGAUAACGUUCGGAAACGGACGCUAAUACCGCAUACGUCCUACGGGAGAAAGCAGGGGACCUUCGGGCCUUGCGCUAUCAGAUGAGCCUAGGUCGGAUUAGCUAGUUGGUGAGGUAAUGGCUCACCAAGGCGACGAUCCGUAACUGGUCUGAGAGGAUGAUCAGUCACACUGGAACUGAGACACGGUCCAGACUCCUACGGGAGGCAGCAGUGGGGAAUAUUGGACAAUGGGCGAAAGCCUGAUCCAGCCAUGCCGCGUGUGUGAAGAAGGUCUUCGGAUUGUAAAGCACUUUAAGUUGGGAGGAAGGGCAGUUACCUAAUACGUGAUUGUUUUGACGUUACCGACAGAAUAAGCACCGGCUAACUCUGUGCCAGCAGCCGCGGUAAUACAGAGGGUGCAAGCGUUAAUCGGAAUUACUGGGCGUAAAGCGCGCGUAGGUGGUUAGUUAAGUUGGAUGUGAAAUCCCCGGGCUCAACCUGGGAACUGCAUUCAAAACUGACUGACUAGAGUAUGGUAGAGGGUGGUGGAAUUUCCUGUGUAGCGGUGAAAUGCGUAGAUAUAGGAAGGAACACCAGUGGCGAAGGCGACCACCUGGACUGAUACUGACACUGAGGUGCGAAAGCGUGGGGAGCAAACAGGAUUAGAUACCCUGGUAGUCCACGCCGUAAACGAUGUCAACUAGCCGUUGGGAGCCUUGAGCUCUUAGUGGCGCAGCUAACGCAUUAAGUUGACCGCCU